GUGCCUACGGGAGGCAGCAGUGGGGGAUAUUGCACAAUGGGGGGAACCCUGAUGCAGCGACGCCGCGUGGGUGAAGGAGUAUUUCGGUAUGUAAAGCCCUAUCGGCAGGGAAGAAGCAAGACGGUACCUGACUAAGAAGCCCCGGCUAACUAUGUGCCAGCAGCCGCGGUAAUACGGAGGGGGCGAGCGUUUUCCGGAUUUACUGGGUGUAAAGGGGGCGCAGACGGCAAUGCAAGCCAGGAGUGAA
This 247-nucleotide ribosomal RNA is filed under the name uncultured bacterium. RNAcentral describes it as "partial 16S ribosomal RNA". It matches the Rfam family "Bacterial small subunit ribosomal RNA", at positions 335 to 598 of the family's 1533-position model. The record is from RNAcentral.